Molecule: non-coding RNA, 673 nt
Organism: Ictidomys tridecemlineatus (thirteen-lined ground squirrel)
Lineage: Eukaryota; Metazoa; Chordata; Mammalia; Rodentia; Sciuridae
Source: RefSeq, a predicted model, not a curated record
GUCAUGACGCUACGUACGUAAGGCAACUCGCAAGACCGCCCUCCGGCGCAGAUCACGUGACGCCUCCGUGGCGGCCCGACGCUGAUGGAGUGCAACGGUGCCUCCUUCUGGAUGGAGGGAGUUCCUGCAAGUGUAGUCAUCUUUGCAGGCUGUAUCUCUAACCUGGGAGGAUUCCAGAAACCUUGAGUUGACUACAGUUACAAAUUGGCAUGCCUCAGUGAAAUGAUCCCUGUGGUAUCUGGUGGAUAGGAUUUCUUUCUUACGGCCGAGUGACAUUACACUGUGCCGGGGGGCGCCUAGGUCAAUUGCACAUCUUGGCCGACGUGAACAGUGCCUCGGCAACCACGGAAGUGCAGGAGUCUGAUGUGCUGCCGUCGUUUGCUUUGGUCAUACACCUAGAAGUAGGACAGCUGAAUCAUCUGGAGUCUUGAUGAGGAAGUCGGGGCCUCAUGCGACAUGGUGAGGAUUUGGGCCUACGGUUUCCUCUAUUCGGCGCAGGGCAGGGGAGCAGAUUGAGAGAGGCCUGGAGCUGGGGGCAAGAGGAUGGAGGCACCAGAUGGAGGAGAACUACCCUGGGUGAGGUGGUCCCUCAAGUCUUAGGUAAACUGACUAAUUUUACAAAAUCACAAGGGUGACUAAACUCCUGGAGGAAAGGGGCUAAACGUUGAGGAGC